This is a long non-coding RNA of Carlito syrichta (Philippine tarsier), 521 nucleotides long. RefSeq lists it as uncharacterized. The record is from RefSeq and is a predicted model, not a curated record. NCBI's taxonomy places the organism in Eukaryota, Metazoa, Chordata, Mammalia, Primates, Tarsiidae. The transcript is spliced from 2 exons.
CGCGUUUGCAAACGCUUUGAACUUCUGGGGCGAUGGGGAGCCCCCGCUGGAGACCCUGCGUAAGGGGGCAUUUGCAGGGGAGUGCCAUUUUCGUCCUGGCGCACUCGCUCAGGGCAACCCCCGUUGUAAGCUGGACUUGGAGGUAAUGAGGGUGGGCCAAGUUCACAGGAUGUAGGGCCCUUCCGUCACCCCGAUCACGCGUGUGGCAUCCUCUGCUUGGAACACGAAACGUGUUGCUCACAGAGUAACUCAGUUGAAACCCUGGGCUCCUACGAGGAGGGAAAUUUCCUCAGCCACUCCAGCCUUCAGCACCCUACCCUGAUCAGUCUGCAGCUGUCAACGUUGAGGAAAGACCCACCACCAGGAAAAAGAGUAUGACUGCUGAACGCUUAGAUGACAGCAGUUUUUGGCAAUAAGUUCUUUUAAAAUGAUGUACAUUUUUAAAGACAUGAUGCUACCGCACAUUUAACAGGAUACAACCUAGUGUAAAUACAACUUUUACAUGCACUGGGAAACCAAAA